Ipomoea triloba (trilobed morning glory) is the source of this 376-nucleotide long non-coding RNA. RefSeq lists it as uncharacterized. NCBI's taxonomy places the organism in Eukaryota, Viridiplantae, Streptophyta, Magnoliopsida, Solanales, Convolvulaceae. The transcript is spliced from 4 exons. The record is from RefSeq and is a predicted model, not a curated record.
CAUGCAUGGUCUCAUAGGCAGUGGGUUCUUCAGGCACUUGGUGGGUGGGAAGAUGAACUUGCCUAUUGUCAUCAACUACUUGAAGAUGAUAUUUACAACAAUUCAGCUUGGAAUCAGAAAUGGUUCGAGAUGAUUAGAUUCUUGAAAAUAGAUGUUUGCAUAUUCCAAAUGAAACUCAAAUCAAGUUCAGUGUUGAUGGGCAGGACCACCUUGGAUGAUUGAUAGAUUGAGAUACUUCGUUGUUACACGAUCACUUCGUUGUUAAUUGGAGGCCUGGCAGCAAUGAGGGACUCAGAAGUGCAAUAUGCAGUUCAGGCCAUUAAAACUACCCCUGAUAAUGAAAGCCCUUGGAGAUACCUUCGGGGUCUUUACAAAG